This 407-nucleotide ribosomal RNA is filed under the name actinobacterium SCGC AAA278-L05. Its description in RNAcentral is "bacterial SSU rRNA". It matches the Rfam family "Bacterial small subunit ribosomal RNA", at positions 354 to 772 of the family's 1533-position model. Lineage: Bacteria; Bacillati; Actinomycetota; Actinomycetes. The record is from RNAcentral.
GUGGGGAAUAUUGCGGCAAUGGAGGAAACUCUGACCCAGCGACGCCGCGUGCGGGAUGAAGGCCUUCGGGUUGUAAACCGCUUUCAGUAGGGAAGAAGCGAAAGUGACGGUACCUACAAAAGAAGCACCGGCUAACUAUGUGCCAGCAGCCGCGGUAAUACAUAGGGUGCNAGCGUUGUCCGGAAUUAUUGGGCGUAAAGAGCUCGUAGGUCGUUUGUUACGUCGGAUGUGAAAACCUGAGGCUCAACCUCAGGCCUGCAUUCAAUACGGGCAAACUAGAGUUUGGUAGGGGAGACUGGAAUUCCUGGUGUAGCGGUGGAAUGCGCAGAUAUCAGGAGGAACACCAAUGGCGAAGGCAGGUCUCUGGGCCAAUACUGACACUNAGGAGCGAAAGUCUGGGGAGCGAA